AACAUAGAAGUAAUAUUUACAUUUAGUUUCGACCUAAAAUUAAAGAUUUAAAAAUCUUCAUGUUU
RNAcentral lists this transfer RNA (65 nucleotides) under Durgades nigropicta. RNAcentral's name for it is "tRNA-Arg". The record is from RNAcentral. Lineage: Eukaryota; Metazoa; Arthropoda; Insecta; Hemiptera; Cicadellidae.